RNAcentral lists this ribosomal RNA (333 nucleotides) under Triticum aestivum (bread wheat). RNAcentral describes it as "partial small subunit ribosomal RNA". Lineage: Eukaryota; Viridiplantae; Streptophyta; Magnoliopsida; Poales; Poaceae. The record is from RNAcentral.
AUGGCGUGGGAAAAAGCGAAGUUAGCUGGUCUGGGACAGUCCUUGGCUGAUAGGACGAAGGUUGUACAUGCAGAUUUGCACCAAUGGGACAAAGAUGUCUUAAAAGGCCCGAAGAAGCCGGUGGGUAAAUUGAAAAAGGAACUUGAGAAACUUAGACAUGGGGUUUUUUCUCCCGAUUCCAUUGCCAGGCAGAAGGAAAUUCUUCUUUUGUUGGAGAAUAUUAUGGGACAAGAGGAGGUCUUCUUGCUUCAAAGAGGCAGGACGGAAUGGUUGUUACAUGGCGAUAGAAACAUGAAGUUUUUCCACAAUAUGGCCAUGGCAAGAAAGAAAUGA